UACGAAGGGGGCUAGCGUUGCUCGGAAUCACUGGGCGUAAAGCGCACGUAGGCGGAUUGUUAAGUCAGGGGUGAAAUCCUGGAGCUCAACUCCAGAACUGCCUUUAAUACUGGCGGCCUUGAGUAUGGCAGAGGUGUGUGGAACUCCGAGUGUAGAGGUGAAAUUCGUAGAUAUUCGGAAGAACACCAGUGGCGAAGGCGACACACUGGGCCAUUACUGACGCUGAGGCGCGAAAGCGUGGGGAGCAAACAGG
RNAcentral lists this ribosomal RNA (253 nucleotides) under uncultured bacterium. Its description in RNAcentral is "partial 16S ribosomal RNA". It matches the Rfam family "Bacterial small subunit ribosomal RNA", at positions 524 to 776 of the family's 1533-position model. The record is from RNAcentral.